RNAcentral lists this transfer RNA (63 nucleotides) under Ixodes confusus. RNAcentral describes it as "tRNA-Met". The record is from RNAcentral. Lineage: Eukaryota; Metazoa; Arthropoda; Arachnida; Ixodida; Ixodidae.
UAUAAAGUCAGCUAAAAAAAAGCUAGUGGGUUCAUACCCCAAAAAUGAUUAUUUCCUUUAUAA